CAAAACUCGUUUGCUGGUAUCAAACUGUUGACCAUAUAGCAUGACUUUUGUCGAAUCUAUUUCUAGUGUAGGUAUCUAUGAUAACAUUUGCAGAUAUUAUGUUUCAAAAGAUGUAUUCGUGAAGAUGUAUCUUUUGUUCAGCUAUUAAUUGGGUUUCACAUGAUGAUUUUGACGUCGCAGUAUCUUUUGAUGGCGAUUUUGAUGACUUCAUACUUGCGUCUUACGCUUCAGGACAAAAAUCUACCAGACCAUGGGAUUCAGGGGAAGACGCAGCGAGACGGUGUGGCAGCAAACGACAGUCCUGCAGCGGCAUAUUUACCAGCAUACGCAAUACCCGACGGAUCACCGGUGGAUCCUUGUGUGACAUGCAGACCUCGCCGAACUACGCACAAUUGUCGGAGAAACACUUUGGACGGAUGUCCAAGUCGGCCCAGCUCGACCUGCGGCACCACAAAACGAUGCAAGUCCCAAGCACGUACAAGAUCUACGAAACGCCUAUGUUCCUCAUCGUCUUCUCGUCCUGCUUCCUUCUCUUCCACCAAAAAAACCAUGAAACGUAGCAAUCGUUCUUCCAUCCGUGUCAAACCGAACCACACUGGACUGAAAGAUUUAAAUUUCUAACCGUUAUAAUAAUAAAUUGAAAACAACUUAACAUGUCCUUGAUAUUAUAUACAUUAUAUAUAUAA
Long non-coding RNA from Aphis gossypii (cotton aphid), 686 nucleotides. RefSeq lists it as uncharacterized. The record is from RefSeq and is a predicted model, not a curated record. The transcript has 2 exons. Lineage: Eukaryota; Metazoa; Arthropoda; Insecta; Hemiptera; Aphididae.